AUCCAUUUCAUGCCUAGAUUUUUUACAUAGACUACAGUGAUUGGAUGUAGGUCCUCAUACUCACACAGCAAGCUCAGUUUCAGGAGAAACUGAACUGUUCCUCCAGCUCUUCUGACCUGGGGACUUUUGAGUGCUCCCUCGUAGCCACAGUCUGGGUCUGUGGGUACUGGGGAGGCUCCUGUCGUUUUUAAAUAGUGGACACUUCUUCUUUUAAGGAGGGCAGACAACAUUUAUAAUCACGUGUGGGUCACCUGUUGGCUUCAGUUGCUGGGAUACAGUACGAGCCAGGCUGUCUCCUUGGGCUCCUGCUGAAGAGCAGGCACAUACUUCCACCCUGUCUCGGAGUUUCACUAAUGAGGAAAGUCUUUGCGCCGUCUCCAAACUGGUCCUGUGCAGAUAUGAACUUCAGCGUGGGUUCCGUGAAGACACGCCUGUGGGCAUAUCUUCCAAGGCAUUAAGAAUGAAGUCUCACAGAGUAGUCCCAAGUCACCAAUGAGUGUGGCCUACCAGAGCCCAAGGACAGCGCAUAGGUGUAAGCUAGCUGGGCAGCCAGGACGAAAAGCAGGCCGGCUCGUUCCUGUUACAGACGCAGCUGCUUCUAGGGGCACCCAUACGGCAGUAAAGUCACAUAACCUACUUAAAGUCAUGGAAACCUAACCUAAAGUGACAUAACCUACCUCUCAAGCAGAGAUGAGCAGGACAAGUUGAGCUGGGAGAAUCAGCUGCACAACCCCUGGGAUGAAUGAUAAGACGUGCAACUGAGGUCGAUCCCGUGAGGGUGAAGCAUUCACAGGUGAGAGCAGUCCCAACAGAGCUCCAUUUUCCCCUGUGGAUGGUGUGCAAUGACAGUUGCAUGCUCCCUGCAAUAGCUGAUAGGAUAUGCAGCUAACACAGCAUUCAAGAACAAAGCUUCCUUAGAUGAAAUCCCAGGGUCUCUAGCUUCCUCUGUGUUAUAGUUACAAAUAUUCUCCACCCUGCAGGUCCUUCUGGGCCGAGUUUUUCCCACUCGCCUGUUCCCGAAGCCACUUAUAAAAUAACCACUCUGAGGUUUAAUACUAAUUAAGUACUCUUUGGCCUAUUGGCUUGGGUUUCUUAUUAACUAUCUAUUACAUCAUAAAUUAACCCGGUUUUUAUUAUUGUAUAUUUUACCAUGAGGCUUGUGGUUUGUUACCUCACAUCUUGCUUCUUGGGCAGCUGCCUCUUUGGCAUCUUGGGCGGCUUGCUUCUUUGGCAUCUGCUUGACUCUGUCUUCUUUCUCCCUGCAUUCAGUUUUGUUUUUCAAUCUAGCUAUAGUCUGCGCUGCCCUGAAUAAAACAUAUUCACAGAACACAGAGGGGACUCUCACAUCACUAUGUAGCAUAGGGUGGUGUGCCUCCUUUAUGAAUGGAGUUGACCUAAUAGUAUGGGGACAUUCUGGAAAGGCUGACGGACUAGAGGACACAUUAGUCCCUGACAGUAGCACAUACAGGAUGGGAUUGUAAGACGGCUGUGGCAGAUGUUGUGUGGCCUUUGUGGUGGGCAUUGAGACAAGGGAUGGGAUCUCCAUACCCACACACUUAGCUCCAGCCCAUGCUUUGUUCUUGAGCCAUCUUUGCCUGAUAAGUUGCCCUCCCCUCUUCCAUCAACCCUGCGUCCAUGUCCACACUCACUGAUCUGUGUUCUGUCAAAAGACACAGAUUUUGUCUUUAAUGGAUUAAGAAACGAGGUCCACCUUUCUGUUGUCUACAAGAAACCACCAUAGCUUUAGGCACCUCCUCCUGGAGACCAGUUUUCAUAGCUCCUAAAGGUGCUAUGCAAGAUGCUAGAGGGGUAGCAAUCAGCAGUCCUUGCCAGCCUGUGAGUCACCACCGUGAUCAGCCCUGCAAGAUACUACUGAAGGUCAACAGUGACACCCAUGUCUUGGUGGCAACCAACAGCUGCCUAAUUGGACUUGGGCUCACUCGACAUGCCUGGUUCUGAACACUGAGCCAAACACCUGGGGCUAGUGACGUCAUGGAUUUUAAAGGAGAACCUACUACCGUCACCUUAUCAAAGCAGUGCAAGUCCUAGCUGCAUCCACAGAAGCGGCUCUUUUCAGCAGAUGGAGGUUGUCACGACUGGUGUCAUUUUAAAACUUUUUCCAUGAAUGCUUGCUGGAUUUUGUGAAGGGCCUUUUCUUCAUCUAUUGAAAUUAUCAUGUGAUUUUUGUCUUUAAGUCCACUUGUGUGGUUUAUUAUAUUUAUUGACUUGUGUACCUCAAACCGUCCCGGCAUCUCGGGAAUAAAGUCAACUUGGUCAUAAUGGAUAAUCUUUUCGAUACAAAAGCAUAUUUGGUUUGCAAAUAUUUUAUUGAGGGUUUUUUGAAUCAUUGUUUACAAGAAAUAUCAGCCUGCAGUUUUAAUUUUGUUGUUGUUUCUUUAACUGGUUUGGGUAUUACAGUGAAACUGCCUUCAUAGAGUUUGGAAGUGAUCCUUCUGUUUCUUUUUGUUCUCUCUCUCUCUCUCUCUCUCUCUCUCUCUCUCUCUCUCUCUCUUCCUCCUUUUUUUCUUCUCUUUGGAGUAAUUUGAGAAGGAUUGGUGGCAAAUGUUUGGGAGUCUGGUAGAAUUCCACUGUGAAUCUAUUUGAGACUAGGCUGCUGGAGGUGGAAGGCUCUUAUUACUGCUUCAGUUUCUGUAUUGUUAUGGUCUGACUAGGUUGUUAAUCUCUUCUAAGUCUAACUUUGUUUGAAUAAAUUGAGGAACUCAUCUAUCUUAGAGUUUCUAGCUUA
Myodes glareolus (Bank vole) is the source of this 2746-nucleotide non-coding RNA. The record is from RefSeq and is a predicted model, not a curated record. Lineage: Eukaryota; Metazoa; Chordata; Mammalia; Rodentia; Cricetidae.